UGACGCCCACGGUCGGUAAUUAGCUAGUGGCGGGUAAAGGCCCACCAAGGCGACGAUCCGUAGCUGGUCUGAGAGGAUGAUCAGCCACACUGGAACUGAGACACGGUCCAGACUCCUACGGGAGGCAGCAGUAGGGAAUAUUGGACAAUGGGCGCAAGCCUGAUCCAGCCAUGCCGCGUGAGUGAAGAAGGCCCUCGGGUUGUAAAGCUCUUUUGUCCGGAAAGAAAAGCGCCGGGUUAAUACCCUGGUGUCCUGACGGUACCGGAAGAAUAAGCACCGGCUAACUUCGUG
This 291-nucleotide ribosomal RNA is filed under the name uncultured bacterium. RNAcentral's name for it is "partial 16S ribosomal RNA". It matches the Rfam family "Bacterial small subunit ribosomal RNA", at positions 223 to 507 of the family's 1533-position model. The record is from RNAcentral.